UUAGUAAUGAUAGAGGUUUGUAAUAAAAAAUAUUUGGAAAUCACUGCCAUAGGAGGAUAUGAAAUUAACCACCUGCUCUGGCACUGUGUUGCUGCUUGGUCUUGUGUUCAGAAUAACAGUCCUCAGUUGAAUAACGUGCUUGAACAUCUCGUCUUCCAUAAGACACAGCUUCAAAAGAAAUGCUGGCUGGAAUGCAGUGUUGCAGUGCCGUGAUCUCCGCUUACUGCAACCUCCAUCCCUGGGGCUCAAGUGAUCCUCCCAGCUCAGCCUCCCAAGUUGGAUUCAGUACUGGCUUUACUGGUCCUUGGGGAGGCUGCCAAAUUAAACAUGGCCUGCUUGAAAGCUUUAAUGGACGUAGUGAGAGAUUUUGUUUCAAGCAUUAUGUCUGUUCAAAAUCAGGAAGAAAGUUGCAAGGUAGAUGAUUUUUCCUGGGCCUGGAAUGUAGUCUACAUAUAUACAGUAAUUCUUGCAGAAAUCUGCUUGUAUGCAGCCACUUCUGAUUUGCGAAAAACUGCUUUAAUUGGUUUCUGUCACUGUAAAAGUUCACAAAAAAAUAUUUUAUACUUGGACAAAUCAGUACCUCCAGAAUUAAAGGAAACAAGUAUUUUAAGUCUUUUGGAAUAUUUCUCUUCAAAAAUGUCAGAGAACUGUGAUCAAGUAGUCUGGACUGGUUACUAUGGCUUAGUGUAUAACCUGGUGAAAAUUUCAUGGGAACUUCAAGGAGACGAAGAACAGGAUGGACUUAGAAACAUGAUAUGGCAAACAUUGCAGAAAACAAAG
Molecule: long non-coding RNA, 780 nt
Filed under: Homo sapiens (human)
Lineage: Eukaryota; Metazoa; Chordata; Mammalia; Primates; Hominidae
Description: non-protein coding lnc-TMEM232-4:7
Source: RNAcentral